AGCUCCAAUAGCGUAUAUUAAAGUUGCUGCAGUUAAAAAGCUCGUAGUUGGAUUUGUGGCGCGGCCGUCCGGCGGGGGUCCUUCUAUGGUCUCGUUUGUCCUGGUUUUCGGCCGCUCCUUUCUCGGGUAGAGCGUAAUGGCUGGCAUUAGGUUGUCGGCCGCUUCGCGCCCGUCGUUUACUGUGAAAAAAUUAGAGUGUUCAAAGCAGGCUUAUGCCGUUGAAUAUAUUAGCAUGGAAUAAUAAGAUAGGACUUGUUUGCUAUUUUGUUGGUUUGCGCAAAUAGGUAAUGAUUAAUAGGGACAGUUGGGGGUAUUCGUAUUCCAUUGUCAGAGGUGAAAUUCUUGGAUUUUUGGAAGACGAACUACUGCGAAAGCAUUUACCAAGGAUGUUUUCAUUAAU
This 400-nucleotide ribosomal RNA is filed under the name phytoplankton environmental sample. RNAcentral's name for it is "partial small subunit ribosomal RNA". It matches the Rfam family "Eukaryotic small subunit ribosomal RNA", at positions 587 to 977 of the family's 1831-position model. The record is from RNAcentral.